Sorghum bicolor (sorghum) is the source of this 495-nucleotide RNA transcript. RefSeq lists it as uncharacterized. NCBI's taxonomy places the organism in Eukaryota, Viridiplantae, Streptophyta, Magnoliopsida, Poales, Poaceae. The transcript has 4 exons. The record is from RefSeq and is a predicted model, not a curated record.
GAGCAAAGAGGCAUGUGAAUCUGAAUACAGUGAUAAUGAUGGUCUACUUUUAGCCACCACAAGUAGAUUAACAAAAAAACAAAAGGGUCAUCACCGAGGGUCUGACCAUCAGGAGGUGGCUCAUGACAAGGCUGCAUGCUACAAACGUCAAACACAUAAACAACCUCCUCUAAUGAAGGUUGGGUCCACGGUGCUGCUAAUGACUUCAAAAUAUCCUAAUAAGGCUCAUGUGGCUUAUGCAACUCUCCUCAGCACCGAUCCAGAAGCCAUGGUUGAUGGAGUUAAGAUAGGAAGUCAAUUCUAUAGAGUGCGUAUUGAUCACCCUAUAACAAAAGAUGAGCCAUUAGUAAGGCCCAUGCCUGGAUGCAAAAAUAUUGGUGAUGCACAUGCCAAAGGAGUCUCAAUUGCUUGGCCUUCCAUGUUUGUUCAAAUGAUUAAUGGUUGAAUGCCCACAUCGAUGUGUAUAGAGAAAGGAAAAAGAAGGAAGGGCCUUUA